This 818-nucleotide ribosomal RNA is filed under the name uncultured Actinomycetes bacterium. RNAcentral describes it as "bacterial SSU rRNA". It matches the Rfam family "Bacterial small subunit ribosomal RNA", at positions 81 to 914 of the family's 1533-position model. The record is from RNAcentral. Lineage: Bacteria; Bacillati; Actinomycetota; Actinomycetes.
UGUAGCAAUACACAGUGGCGAACGGCGAAGUAAUACAUAAGCAACGUGCCCUGAAGACUGGGAUAGUCAGAGGAAACUCUGGGUAAUACCAGAUGAGGCCGUCACCCGGCAUCGGGAGACGAUCAAACGGUUUUUCGCUUCAGGAGCGGCUUAUGGCCUAUCAGGUAGUUGGUGGGGUAAUGGCCUACCAAGCCGACGACGGGUAGCGGGUCUGAGAGGAUGAUCCGCUCGAGUGGGACUGAGACACGGCCCACACACCUACGGGUGGCAGCAGUUGGGAAUCUUGCACAAUGGGGGAAACCCUGAUGCAGCGACGCCGCGUGGAGGAUGACGGAUUUAGGUCUGUAAACUCCUUUUUCAGGGAAAGACUUAGGACGGUACCCUGAGAAUAAGGACCGGCUAACUACGUGCCAGCAGCCGCGGUAAGACGUAGGGUCCAAGCGUUGUCCGGAUUUACUGGGCGUAAAGAGCGCGUAGGCGGCUUGUUAAGUGUGAAGCUAAAUCUCCAGGCUCAACUUGGAAACUAUUUCGCAUACUGGCAAGCUGGAGUGAUGAAGAGGUUUGUGGAAUUCCUGGUGUAGCGGUGAAAUGCGUUGAUAUCAGGAGGAACACCCAUGGCGAAGGCAGCAAACUGGUCAUCAACUGACGCUGAGGCGCGAAAGCGUGGGUAGCAAACAGGAUUAGAUACCCUGGUAGUCCACGCCCUAAACGAUGGAUACUAGGCGUAAGAGGUAUCGACCCCUCUUGUGCCGCAGCUAACGCAUUAAGUAUCCCGCCUGGGGAGUACGGCCGCAAGGUUGAAACUCAAAUGAAUUGAC